This 493-nucleotide ribosomal RNA is filed under the name uncultured bacterium. Its description in RNAcentral is "partial 16S ribosomal RNA". It matches the Rfam family "Bacterial small subunit ribosomal RNA", at positions 29 to 507 of the family's 1533-position model. The record is from RNAcentral.
ACGAACGCUGGCGGCGUGCUUAACCCAUGCCAGUCGAACGGUGAAGCGCCUUCCUUUUUGGUGGGUGUGGAUGAGUGGCGAACGGGUGAGUAACACGUGAGUAACCUGCCCCCUUCUUCUGGAUAACCGCAUGAAAGUGUGGCUAAUACGGGAUAUUCUGGGUCUGUCGCAUGAUGGGUCUGGGAAAGAUAUUGUUUCGGUGGGGGAUGGGCUCGCGGCCUAUCAGCUUGUUGGUGGGGUGAUGGCCUACCAAGGCGGUGACGGGUAGCCGGCCUGAGAGGGUGGACGGUCACACUGGGACUGAGACACGGCCCAGACUCCUACGGGAGGCAGCAGUGGGGAAUAUUGCACAAUGGGCGCAAGCCUGAUGCAGCGACGCCGCGUGAGGGAUGGAGGCCUUCGGGUUGUAAACCUCUUUCGCCAGUGAAGCAGGCCUGCCUCGUUUGUGGGUGGGUUGACGGUAGCUGGAUAAGAAGCGCCGGCUAACUACGUG